GACGAACGCUGGCGGCGUGCCUAAUACAUGCAAGUUGAGCGCUGAAGGUUGGUACUUGUCCCAACUGGAUGAGCAGCGAACGGGUGAGUAACGCGUGGGGAAUCUGCCUUUGAGCGGGGGACAACAUUUGGAAACGAAUGCUAAUACCGCAUAAAAACUUUAAACACAAGUUUUAAGUUUGAAAGAUGCAAUUGCAUCACUCAAAGAUGAUCCCGCGUUGUAUUAGCUAGUUGGUGAGGUAAAGGCUCACCAAGGCGAUGAUACAUAGCCGACCUGAGAGGGGGAUCGGCCAAAAUGGGAAUGAGACACGGCCCAAACUCCUACGGGAGGCAGCAGUAGGGAAGCUUCGGCAAUGGACGAAAGUCUGACCGGGCAACGCCGCGGGAGUGAAGAAGGGUUUCGGAUCGUAAAACUCUGUUGGUAGGGAAGAACGUUGGUGAGAGUGGAAAGCUCAUCAAGUGACGGUAACUACCCAGAAAGGGACGGCUAACUACGUG
Molecule: ribosomal RNA, 497 nt
Filed under: uncultured bacterium
Lineage: Bacteria
Description: partial 16S ribosomal RNA
Rfam family: Bacterial small subunit ribosomal RNA
Source: RNAcentral